AUGUUACAAAAAGAAUGAAGUUUCUUGUCUAUAUGCAGGUAAAUUUAAACUAUGGAAGACAAAAACUAACAGAACUCAGCCUGCCUGCCUAUCGACAUCAUCUCAUCCAUAGCACCAAUGUGGGAUGACAGAGAGUGCAACUCAAAUUUUAGUCUUGACUUUGGAGCAGUCUCAUAGCUACAGCAUAAGGGAUGGGGGCUGGUGAACUGAGAGAAGCAAGAGCCAUCCAUGGAAGGCUCAGAACAGGCUCUGCCUGUAUGUUUGCUGAACAGUAUUGGAAAACCACGAGUGCUGAACACCCAGUAAAAUCUGAGAGGGAAUGAAGGAAGCCAGAGUUGACCAGGCAUCCCAAAAGGAGGAGCCAUCCCAGACCCAUGCAGAUGUGAAGAACAGAAAUUGAAUGUGGAGGUCAUUGAGAACUUGUAUUCUGUGAAGGAGGGCUGUUUGGGUAGGAACUGUCUCUCCAGAGCCCAAGGGAGAUUUAGCCCACAUUCCAUAUAGAUACUCAACAAGGAAACUUGGUUUCCUUCCUUUAUUUGUAGUAAGCCACGAACUAAAGCAUUUAUAUCACUGUAAUAGCAUGCUUGCCCAUCAUGGUUUCAUUGUAUAUACAUAUACUACCAUACUAAAUUUAAAAGGACUGUAGACCUGGUUCAAGUUACACAGGGAAAUAGCAACUGCUUUCUAU
This 688-nucleotide long non-coding RNA is filed under the name Mus spicilegus (steppe mouse). RNAcentral describes it as "lncRNA (ENSMSIG00000029727.1)". Lineage: Eukaryota; Metazoa; Chordata; Mammalia; Rodentia; Muridae. The record is from RNAcentral.